GAUGAACGCUGGCGGCGUGCCUAAUACAUGCCAGUCGAGCGAACAGACGAGGAGCUUGCUCCUCUGACGUUAGCGGCGGACGGGUGAGUAACACGUGGAUAACCUACCUAUAAGACUGGGAUAACUUCGGGAAACCGGAGCUAACACCGGAUAAUAUAUUGAACCGCAUGGUUCAAUAGUGAAAGACGGUUUUGCUGUCACUUAUAGAUGGAUCCGCGCCGCAUUAGCUAGUUGGUAAGGUAACGGCUUACCAAGGCAACGAUGCGUAGCCGACCUGAGAGGGUGAUCGGCCACACUGAAACUGAGACGCGGUCGAGACCCCUACGGGAGGCAGCAGUAGGAAAUCUCCCGAAAGGGGCGAAAGCCUGACGGAGCAGCGCCGCGUGAGUGAUGAAGGUCUGCGGAGCGAAAAACUCUUUUAAGGGGGAAAAAAAAAUGUGUAAGAAAGGAGGCACGUUGUGGCGACACCGAGACAGAAACCCGCGGAACAACAUG
Molecule: ribosomal RNA, 495 nt
Filed under: uncultured bacterium
Lineage: Bacteria
Description: partial 16S ribosomal RNA
Rfam family: Bacterial small subunit ribosomal RNA
Source: RNAcentral